This 68-nucleotide transfer RNA is filed under the name Euoniticellus fulvus. RNAcentral describes it as "tRNA-Ser". The record is from RNAcentral. Lineage: Eukaryota; Metazoa; Arthropoda; Insecta; Coleoptera; Scarabaeidae.
AAGAUAUGAAAACUCAAGAAUAAGCUUCUAACUUAAUUCUUUAGCAGUGUAAUUCUGUUAAUAUCUUU